This 117-nucleotide ribosomal RNA is filed under the name Danio rerio (zebrafish). The record is from RNAcentral. Lineage: Eukaryota; Metazoa; Chordata; Actinopteri; Cypriniformes; Danionidae.
UGCCACAGCCAUGUCACCCUGCAGCCCAAGACCGGUUACUCACUGAAGCUAAGCAGGGCUGAGCCUGGUCAGUACCUGGAUGGGAGACCACAAGGGAACACUAGGUUGCUGUUGGAA